GCUUUGGUGGCCUAGUGGUUAGAACGUCUGCCUCAGAUGUAGGAUGUCGUGGGUUCGAUCCCCAAUUGAGUCA
This is a non-coding RNA of Potamilus streckersoni, 73 nucleotides long. The record is from the annotation of a GenBank genome assembly. Lineage: Eukaryota; Metazoa; Mollusca; Bivalvia; Unionida; Unionidae.